CCUACGGGAGGCAGCAGUGGGGAAUUUUGGACAAUGGGGGCAACCCUGAUCCAGCAAUGCCGCGUGAGUGAAGAAGGCCUUCGGGUUGUAAAGCUCUUUUGUCAGGGAAGAAACAGCAGCUCUAACACAGCUGUGAAUGACGGUACCUGAAGAAUAAGCACCGGCUAACUACGUGCCAGCAGCCGCGGUAAUACGUAGGGUGCAAGCGUUAAUCGGAAUUACUGGGCGUAAAGCGUGCGCAGGCGGUUAUAUAAGACAGGUGUGAAAUCCCCGGGCUUAACCUGGGAAUUGCAUCUGUGACUGUAUAGCUAGAGUGUGUCAGAGGGGGGUAGAAUUCCACGUGUAGCAGUGAAAUGCGUAGAUAUGUGGAGGAAUACCAAUGGCGAAGGCAGCCCCCUGGGAUAACACUGACGCUCAUGCACGAAAGCGUGGGGAGCAAACAGGAUUAGAUACCCUGGUAGUCCACGCCCUAAACGACUNCUNACUAGUGUUCGGUAGUUAUUCUGUAGUACGUA
Molecule: ribosomal RNA, 515 nt
Filed under: uncultured bacterium
Lineage: Bacteria
Description: bacterial SSU rRNA
Rfam family: Bacterial small subunit ribosomal RNA
Source: RNAcentral